UACGUAGGGGGCAAGCGUUGUCCGGAAUCAUUGGGCGUAAAGAGCGUGUAGGCGGCCCGAUAAGUCCGCUGUGAAAGUCCAGGGCUCAACCCUGGAAUGCCGGUGGAUACUGUCGGGCUCGAGUUCGGAAGAGGAGAGUGGAAUUCCUGGUGUAGCGGUGAAAUGCGCAGAUAUCAGGAAGAACACCCGUGGCGAAGGCGGCUCUCUGGGACGGUACUGACGCUGAGACGCGAAAGCGUGGGGAGCGAACAGG
This 253-nucleotide ribosomal RNA is filed under the name uncultured bacterium. RNAcentral's name for it is "partial 16S ribosomal RNA". It matches the Rfam family "Bacterial small subunit ribosomal RNA", at positions 524 to 776 of the family's 1533-position model. The record is from RNAcentral.